Molecule: ribosomal RNA, 253 nt
Filed under: uncultured bacterium
Lineage: Bacteria
Description: partial 16S ribosomal RNA
Rfam family: Bacterial small subunit ribosomal RNA
Source: RNAcentral
GACGUAGGGCGCGAGCGUUGUUCGGAAUUACUGGGCGUAAAGGGCUCGUAGGCGGCCAACUAAGUCAGACGUGAAAUCCCUCAGCUUAACUGGGGAACUGCGUCUGAUACUGGAUGGCUUGGAUUCGGGAGAGGAAUGCGGAAUUCCAGGUGUAGCGGUGAAAUGCGUAGAUAUCUGGAGGAACACCGGUGGCGAAGGCGGCAUUCUGGACCGAUAUUGACGCUGAGGAGCGAAAGCCAGGGGAGCAAACGGG